UACGUAGGGUGCAAGCGUUGUCCGGAAUUAUUGGGCGUAAAGAGCUCGUAGGCGGUUUGUCGCGUCGGCUGUGAAAACCUGGGGCUCAACCCCGGGCCUGCAGCCGAUACGGGCAAACUAGAAUUCGGUAGGGGAGACUGGAAUUCCUGGUGUAGCGGUGAAAUGCGCAGAUAUCAGGAGGAACACCGGUGGCGAAGGCGGGUCUCUGGGCCGGUACCGACGCUGAGGAGCGAAAGCGUGGGGAGCGAACAGG
RNAcentral lists this ribosomal RNA (253 nucleotides) under uncultured bacterium. Its description in RNAcentral is "partial 16S ribosomal RNA". It matches the Rfam family "Bacterial small subunit ribosomal RNA", at positions 524 to 776 of the family's 1533-position model. The record is from RNAcentral.